AGCGAACAUUGGCGGUAGGCUUAACACAUGCAAGUCGAGCGAGGCGUAAUAGUCGAGCGGCGAACGGGUGAGUAAUACAUGGGAAUCUACCCUGAAGUGGGGGAUAACGUUCAGAAAUGGACGCUAAUACCGCAUAAUCCACAUUGGGAAAGCGUUGCAGCGCUUUAGGAUGAGCCCACGGCUGAUUAGCUAGUUGGUGAGGUAAUGGCUCACCAAGGCGACGAUCAGUAGCUGGUCUGAGAGGAUGAUCAGCCACACUGGAACUGAGACACGGUCCAGACUCCUACGGGAGGCAGCAGUGGGGAAUCUUGCGCAAUGGGGGCAACCCUGACGCAGCCAUACCGCGUGAGUGAUGAAGGUCUUCGGAUUGUAAAGCUCUUUCGGCGGGGACGACGAUGACGGUACCCGCAAAAGAAGUCACGGCUAACUUCGUGCCAGCCGCCGCGGUAA
RNAcentral lists this ribosomal RNA (450 nucleotides) under uncultured bacterium. Its description in RNAcentral is "partial 16S ribosomal RNA". It matches the Rfam family "Bacterial small subunit ribosomal RNA", at positions 29 to 523 of the family's 1533-position model. The record is from RNAcentral.